This 734-nucleotide ribosomal RNA is filed under the name Lactobacillus sp. oral taxon 461. RNAcentral describes it as "bacterial SSU rRNA". It matches the Rfam family "Bacterial small subunit ribosomal RNA", at positions 372 to 1097 of the family's 1533-position model. Lineage: Bacteria; Bacillati; Bacillota; Bacilli; Lactobacillales; Lactobacillaceae. The record is from RNAcentral.
UGGACGCAAGUCUGAUGGAGCAACGCCGCGUGAGUGAAGAAGGUUUUCGGAUCGUAAAGCUCUGUUGUUGGUGAAGAAGGAUAGAGGUAGUAACUGGCCUUUAUUUGACGGUAAUCAACCAGAAAGUCACGGCUAACUACGUGCCAGCAGCCGCGGUAAUACGUAGGUGGCAAGCGUUGUCCGGAUUUAUUGGGCGUAAAGCGAGCGCAGGCGGAAAAAUAAGUCUAAUGUGAAAGCCCUCGGCUUAACCGAGGAAUUGCAUCGGAAACUGUUUUUCUUGAGUGCAGAAGAGGAGAGUGGAACUCCAUGUGUAGCGGUGGAAUGCGUAGAUAUAUGGAAGAACACCAGUGGCGAAAGCGGCUCUCUGGUCUGCAACUGACGCUGAGGCUCGAAAGCAUGGGUAGCGAACAGGAUUAGAUACCCUGGUAGUCCAUGCCGUAAACGAUGAGUGCUAAGUGUUGGGAGGUUUCCGCCUCUCAGUGCUGCAGCUAACGCAUUAAGCACUCCGCCUGGGGAGUACGACCGCAAGGUUGAAACUCAAAGGAAUAGACGGGGGCCCGCACAAGCGGUGGAGCAUGUGGUGUAAUUCGAAGCAACGCGAAGAACCUUACCAGGUCUUGACAUCUAGCGCCAAUCGUAGAGAUACGAUGUUCCCUUCGGGGACGCUAAGACAGGUGGUGCAUGGCUGUCGUCAGCUCGUGUCGUGAGAUGUUGGGGUUAAGUCCGCAACGAGC